CUGGACAUGCAUGGUCUCCGCAGGCAAGGAACACAUAAAAGUAAUUCAGCGUGUUAUCAGAAACUCAUGAGCAUGAAAGAGAAAUUUGGAUCAUGUUCGAACAUGGGUAGAGAGCAGAUCGAGGAGAACUUGAAGAUUAAAGGCAAUGAAAGGUUCCGUAAAAUGGCAGCGGGUAGAGUUCUUGUUCUACACAAAGGAAGUUAACUAACCUUCUUGUAUUAUCUUUAUAUCUGCAUGAUUUUGGUAGAUUGAGUUGUGCAAUGGAUUAACUACUUUGGUUCAAGUUUUCUUCUUCCUAGGCUGGUCCAGAUUAAGAAAAGCAAAAAAAAAUAAAAAACAUAGGAGAGUAGAAGAAACCACACAGAAAAGCAUAGAGUCAGGGGGCAGCAUCAUCUCGUCCUCCAUUAGUAGUAAUUUUUCUCGGACACAAAUCUUAUUUCUCAUACGCCAUUGACAAGACAAACUUGCUUGGAGUUUUGGCUCCAGGGAGCAUAUACUCCCUGGUGAACAGUAAAUAGAAAACAAAAUCCUGAAGAUGGAUCUUGUUUUGUAAACACAAUAAAUUUUCAAAAUCCUGAAGUUUUUCCUGUAGACUUUCAUGUUAGUGUAACAAGCGUGCUUGCCAAUUAUUUCGGUCUACUCCUUGCUCUUGCUUUGGUGUCAUCACUCUACUUCUCUCCAUACAGUUUCACCCUGACAUGAAAAGCUAGUUCUUAUUAUCCAUGUCAUUUGUUUUUGUAUGCAUUGGUAACACUCAUAUGUAUAUAUGUGCUCCUCAAAUAUUUGGAUUUUGAACCACCAGACCAUUCAAAUAAAUGCAUGGACUCUUACCUAGAUAUAAAUAAAUGGCAGGGAUAGUUGCAUCAGUACAUGCUUGAGGAACACUAUGUUUGACCACGAAGAUAGGUUUGUGCCAAGUACUGAUUUGUGAUUUGUGACAAGUACUGAUUUGUCACAAGUAUAUAUACAAACUGAAGAUAGUUCCAUCAGUAUAUAUAAAAACUGAAGAUAGUCAACUAAGUGCAUAUAAGUGCAUACUGGAUUCCAUAUCAAUUAUGUACCACAGUUAUUUUAACAAGCUCUUGAUAAUUAAAAAAAAGGAACACUAUGGAGCAUGUACUCCCUCUUUUCCAAAUUACUCGCCGCGGAAAUUGAUGUAUCUAGAACUAAAAUACAUCUAGAUACAUCCAUACAUGCGACAAGUAAUUCGGAACGGAGGGAGUAUAUAGCAAAUUAUCCUCUCUGAGCCAUGUUCUUG
This is a non-coding RNA of Triticum urartu, 1258 nucleotides long. The record is from RefSeq and is a predicted model, not a curated record. Lineage: Eukaryota; Viridiplantae; Streptophyta; Magnoliopsida; Poales; Poaceae.